UACGUAGGGUGCGAGCGUUGUCCGGAAUUACUGGGCGUAAAGAGCUCGUAGGUGGUUUGUCGCGUUGUUCGUGAAAACCGGGGGCUUAACCCUCGGCGUGCGGGCGAUACGGGCAGACUUGAGUACUGCAGGGGAGACUGGAAUUCCUGGUGUAGCGGUGGAAUGCGCAGAUAUCAGGAGGAACACCGGUGGCGAAGGCGGUGCUCUGGGCCAGUAUUGACGCUGAGGAGCGAAAGCGUGGGGAGCGAACAGG
This 253-nucleotide ribosomal RNA is filed under the name uncultured bacterium. RNAcentral's name for it is "partial 16S ribosomal RNA". It matches the Rfam family "Bacterial small subunit ribosomal RNA", at positions 524 to 776 of the family's 1533-position model. The record is from RNAcentral.